AGAGUUUGAUCUUGGCUCAGAACGAACGCUGGCGGCAUGCCUAACACAUGCAAGUCGAACGAGAUCUUCGGAUCUAGUGGCGCACGGGUGCGUAACACGUGGGAAUCUGCCCUUUGGUUCGGAAUAACUCAGGGAAACUUGAGCUAAUACCGGAUGAUGACGUAAGUCCAAAGAUUUAUCGCCAAAGGAUGAGCCCGCGUAGGAUUAGCUAGUUGGUAGGGUAAAGGCCUACCAAGGCGACGAUCCUUAGCUGGUCUGAGAGGAUGAUCAGCCACACUGGGACUGAGACACGGCCCAGACUCCUACGGGAGGCAGCAGUGGGGAAUAUUGGACAAUGGGGGAAACCCUGAUCCAGCAAUGCCGCGUGAGCGAUGAAGGCCUUAGGGUUGUAAAGCUCUUUUACCCGGGAUGAUAAUGACAGUACCGGGAGAAUAAGCCCCGGCUAACUCCGUGCCAGCAGCCGCGGUAAUACGGAGGGGGCUAGCGUUGUUCGGAAUUACUGGGCGUAAAGCGCACGUAGGCGGCUAUUCAAGUCAGGGGUGAAAGCCCGGGGCUCAACCCCGGAAUUGCCCUUGAAACUAGAUAGCUAGAAUCAUGGAGAGGUGAGUGGAAUUCCGAGUGUAGAGGUGGAAUUCGUAGAUAUUCGGAAGAACACCAGUGGCGAAGGCGGCUCACUGGACAUGCAUUGACGCUGAGGUGCGAAAGC
This 706-nucleotide ribosomal RNA is filed under the name uncultured Alphaproteobacteria bacterium. RNAcentral's name for it is "bacterial SSU rRNA". It matches the Rfam family "Bacterial small subunit ribosomal RNA", at positions 8 to 760 of the family's 1533-position model. The record is from RNAcentral. Lineage: Bacteria; Pseudomonadati; Pseudomonadota; Alphaproteobacteria.